UGAGCUCGAUGAGUAGGGCGGGACACGUGGUAUCCUGUCUGAAUAUGGGGGGACCAUCCUCCAAGGCUAAAUACUCCUGACUGACCGAUAGUGAACCAGUACCGUGAGGGAAAGGCGAAAAGAACCCCGGCGAGGGGAGUGAAAAAGAACCUGAAACCGUGUACGUACAAGCAGUGGGAGCACCCUUCGGGGUGUGACUGCGUACCUUUUGUAUAAUGGGUCAGCGACUUAUAUUCUGUAGCAAGGUUAACCGAAUAGGGGAGCCGGAGGGAAACCGAGUCUUAAUUGGGCGUUAAGUUGCAGGGUAUAGACCCGAAACCCGGUGAUCUAGCCAUGGGCAGGUUGAAGGUUGGGUAACACUAACUGGAGGACCGAACCGACUAAUGUUGAAAAAUUAGCGGAUGACCUGUGGCUGGGGGUGAAAGGCCAAUCAAACCGGGAGAUAGCUGGUUCUCCCCGAAAGCUAUUUAGGUAGCGCCUCGUGAAUUCAUCUCCGGGGGUAGAGCACUGUUUCGGCUAGGGGGCCAUCCCGGCUUACCAACCCGAUGCAAACUGCGAAUACCGGAGAAUGUUAUCACGGGAGACACACGGCGGGUGCUAACGUCCGUCGUGAAGAGGGAAACAACCCAGACCGCCAGCUAAGGUCCCAAAGUCAUGGUUAAGUGGGAAACGAUGUGGGAAGGCCCAGACAGCCAGGAUGUUGGCUUAGAAGCAGCCAUCAUUUAAAGAAAGCGUAAUAGCUCACUGGUCGAGUCGGCCUGCGCGGAAGAUGUAACGGGGCUAAACCAUGCACCGAAGCUGCGGCAGCGACACUGUGUGUUGUUGGGUAGGGGAGCGUUCUGUAAGCCUGUGAAGGUGUGUCGUGAGGCAUGCUGGAGGUAUCAGAAGUGCGAAUGCUGACAUAAGUAACGAUAAAGCGGGUGAAAAGCCCGCUCGCCGGAAGACCAAGGGUUCCUGUCCAACGUUAAUCGGGGCAGGGUGAGUCGACCCCUAAGGCGAGGCCGAAAGGCGUAGUCGAUGGGAAACGGGUUAAUAUUCCCGUACUUGGUGUUACUGCGAAGGGGGGACGGAGAAGGCUAUGUUGGCCGGGCGACGGUUGUCCCGGUUUAAGCGUGUAGGUGUGUGUUCCAGGUAAAUCCGGUUCACUUUAACACUGAGGCGUGACGACGAGGCACUACGGUGCUGAAGCAACAAAUGCCCUGCUUCCAGGAAAAGCCUCUAAGCAUCAGGUAACAUCAAAUCGUACCCCAAACCGACACAGGUGGUCAGGUAGAGAAUACCAAGGCGCUUGAGAGAACUCGGGUGAAGGAACUAGGCAAAAUGGUGCCGUAACUUCGGGAGAAGGCACGCUGACACGUAGGUGAAGUGAUUUACUCAUGGAGCUGAAGUCAGUCGAAGAUACCAGCUGGCUGCAACUGUUUAUUAAAAACACAGCACUGUGCAAACACGAAAGUGGACGUAUACGGUGUGACGCCUGCCCGGUGCCGGAAGGUUAAUUGAUGGGGUCAGCGCAAGCGAAGCUCCUGAUCGAAGCCCCGGUAAACGGCGGCCGUAACUAUAACGGUCCUAAGGUAGCGAAAUUCCUUGUCGGGUAAGUUCCGACCUGCACGAAUGGCGUAAUGAUGGCCAGGCUGUCUCCACCCGAGACUCAGUGAAAUUGAACUCGCUGUGAAGAUGCAGUGUACCCGCGGCAAGACGGAAAGACCCCGUGAACCUUUACUAUAGCUUGACACUGAACAUUGAGCCUUGAUGUGUAGGAUAGGUGGGAGGCUUUGAAGCGUGGACGCCAGUCUGCGUGGAGCCGACCUUGAAAUACCACCCUUUAAUGUUUGAUGUUCUAACGUGGACCCGUGAUCCGGGUUGCGGACAGUGUCUGGUGGGUAGUUUGACUGGGGCGGUCUCCUCCUAAAGAGUAACGGAGGAGCACGAAGGUUGGCUAAUCCUGGUCGGACAUCAGGAGGUUAGUGCAAUGGCAUAAGCCAGCUUGACUGCGAGCGUGACGGCGCGAGCAGGUGCGAAAGCAGGUCAUAGUGAUCCGGUGGUUCUGAAUGGAAGGGCCAUCGCUCAACGGAUAAAAGGUACUCCGGGGAUAACAGGCUGAUACCGCCCAAGAGUUCAUAUCGACGGCGGUGUUUGGCACCUCGAUGUCGGCUCAUCACAUCCUGGGGCUGAAGUAGGUCCCAAGGGUAUGGCUGUUCGCCAUUUAAAGUGGUACGCGAGCUGGGUUUAGAACGUCGUGAGACAGUUCGGUCCCUAUCUGCCGUGGGCGCUGGAGAACUGAGGGGGGCUGCUCCUAGUACGAGAGGACCGGAGUGGACGCAUCACUGGUGUUCGGGUUGUCAUGCC
This 2346-nucleotide ribosomal RNA is filed under the name Salmonella enterica subsp. enterica serovar Stanley. Its description in RNAcentral is "partial 23S ribosomal RNA". It matches the Rfam family "Bacterial large subunit ribosomal RNA", at positions 400 to 2730 of the family's 2925-position model. Lineage: Bacteria; Pseudomonadati; Pseudomonadota; Gammaproteobacteria; Enterobacterales; Enterobacteriaceae. The record is from RNAcentral.